This 145-nucleotide non-coding RNA is filed under the name Propionispira arboris. Lineage: Bacteria; Bacillati; Bacillota; Negativicutes; Selenomonadales; Selenomonadaceae. The record is from RNAcentral.
UCCAUCGUGAGGUGGAAUCUGAAGGAAAUUGGCGGCAAAGUUCUGGUUUGAGGAACACGAACUACAUAUAAGGCAUAUUCUGCAUCCACACCGAACUGGUAGAUAUUGUAGGUGGUUUUAGUUGUUGAUUACGCAUGUCAUCUUU